CCUACGUGAGGCAGCAGUGAGGAAUAUUGGUCAAUGGACGGAAGUCUGAACCAGCCAUGCCGCGUGCAGGAAGACGGCUCUAUGAGUUGUAAACUGCUUUUGUACAAGGGUAAACCUGAAUACUUGUAUUCAUCUCAAAUUACUGUACGAAUAAGGAUCGGCUAACUCCGUUCCAGCAGCCGCGGUAAUACGGAGGAUCCAAGCGUUAUCCGGAUUUAUUGGGUUUAAAGGGUGCGUAGGCGGAUUGAUAAGUUAGAGGUGAAAUGUCCGGGCUUAACUCGGGAACUGCCUCUAAUACUGGUGAUCUAGAGAGUAGAUGCGGGAGGCGGAAUGUAUGGUGUAGCGGUGAAAUGCUUAGAGAUCAUACAGAACACCGAUUGCGAAGGCAGCUUACCAAUCUAUAUCUGACGUUGAGGCACGAAAGCGUGGGGAGCAAACAGGAUUAGAUACCCCUGUAGUC
Molecule: ribosomal RNA, 460 nt
Filed under: uncultured bacterium
Lineage: Bacteria
Description: partial 16S ribosomal RNA
Rfam family: Bacterial small subunit ribosomal RNA
Source: RNAcentral